This 78-nucleotide microRNA precursor is filed under the name Trichobilharzia regenti. RNAcentral describes it as "mir-3492 microRNA precursor family". It matches the Rfam family "mir-3492 microRNA precursor family". Lineage: Eukaryota; Metazoa; Platyhelminthes; Trematoda; Strigeidida; Schistosomatidae. The record is from Rfam by way of RNAcentral.
AACUCUUUUUAUCUGUGCUGAGAUUUCGUCAGAAAUCAGUCCAUUAUGGCUGAUACAACUUCCCAAAUAAGUGAAGUG